AUAUUUUAACAUUAUAGAAAAUAUUUUAUAUACCAAAGAAUAGGAGAACAUAGCACUUUUACUUUUUACUUUCCAAGGGCAGGAAUGAAAUUUUUCACAGAAAAAGUUAAUUCUCAGUAGGAGAAUUUUGUGCUUUUGCCUUAACAUCCAUGUCUUGUGUUUUUCAAUUUUUCUUCAAAAAAAUUUAGAAAGCCAUCAGAAAUAGCAAAAUCUAAGUUCUUAUGUGUGGGCAUUAACAAAGGAGCACUAAGCUCCUAAGGAACAAUAACUAUAAUACAUGUUAGACACAUCCCCCUGGACAUCAUAAAGGUAACCCCAUUAAUAAUUUACAGGUUCUUAUCCCUCUGGAAAGAUCAAAAUGCAGAGUGUCUGUGAGUGUCAGGUGACUGAGUCCAUAUAAGUAGAGACAGUCCUUUCUGGUUGUUGUAAUAUCCUAAGCACAUUACCCAGAAAAGAGCACAAUGUAUGUGCUAAAUAAAUAACCAUUGAAUAUGUGAGAGAGUGAUGCUAGAGCUACAGGAGUUUAAUCUAGUAACAGAGGUAACAGACAUGGCACUAGAAUAUUUGUGGGUUUUUUUUAUAUAGUGUGUGACAUUUCCUUAUUUUAAUUUUUAAGACUCUAAAUACAUCAUUUCUCCCUUCCCUUUUUCCCCUCCAGACCCUCCUAUAUACCCUCCUCAUUCUCUUUCAUAUUCAUCACUUCUAUUUUCAUUGUUGUUACAUGCAUAUAUGUACAUGUAUAUAUACAUAUAUUUCUAAAUAUAACCUAUUCAAUCUGAAUAAUGGUAUGCAUAUGCAUGUUUUCAGGAUUGUAUAUUUAGUAUUAAAUAACCAACUGGUAUACUUUUUGCUGAAGAAGACUGUUUCUCCCAUUCUCUAAAAGAUGUAUCACAGGCUGAUGAGAUGGAUCAGCUAAUAAAGGUACUUGCUGCCAAACCUGAAACCUGUCUUUAAUCCCCAGGACCCAUGUGGUAAAAGGAGAGAAGGAAUUUCCUCAAGUUUUCCUCUGACCUCCAUUCACAUACUGUAACAUUUAGGAACACAUGCGCACAUGCAUGCUCCAACAACUCCCGCCCUACACACACAAUAAAUAAAUAAAUAAAUAAAUAAAUAAAUAAAUAAAUAAAUGCAUGUAAUACAAAAUGAAAACUUUUUGAAAACAUGUGUCAUUUAUUCAAUGAUUUGAAUAGAAUUAUUUCCCUUCUAUGUUGUUUGUGGUCAUAUCUGCUUGAUUCAUGACUGUGUUCCUAUUUUCUUAAACCGGGCUUAGCACAAAGCAAAGACCCAAAUGUAUUUGAGACAAGACUGGUGGUUUGGCAGCAAGGCAUAAUGUGUGAAAAAUCUUAAGAGAUACAAAAGACCAAAGGAGCUAAAGGAGGCAUGAGAAACAUCUGGUUCAAAGGAAUCUACAGUUUAAAGAAGAGAACAGACCCUUGAGCCUAGUUUCAGGGAAUAGACAGGGGUCAUUAAAGCCUACAAGGAAACAGCAAAGUUGACUUUUCAGGCCAAGGGAUUGAAUAAUUGGCAGCAUUAACUGUGCUUCUGUGGGGUCCUAUGAGUUGGCACCUUUGAAAAAGUUAGUUCUAUUUUAAGAAAAGUUUAAUUUCAGGGACCAGCAGCUGGUACCUUAAGUGCCAGAGGCAGGCAUUGUUUCAUAGUAAAUGAUAGUGAAACCACUUAAUUGUAUAUUUACAAACACAUGUUGUUUCAUGGAAACUCCUUGAUAAUUAUACAGUUACAAGCGUUAGUGCAACCAAGUUAUCUCUUGAUAGUUGAGUAAUUAACUUGUCAGCUCAGCCAAGAGGGCUGAAGUGAAGGAGUCUGGAACACGGACUUCUUUUCUUAUAGAUGACUGCAUUCAGCCAGCACUUUCCAAUCAUGGGGUCACCAUCUUCUUGGUGUCUUGAUUUUCAAUGUCAAGAUUGGGACUCUCCCUACUUCCCUAAAUUCUCUAAGCCUCUUCGUGUCUCUAUUGCCUUUUAACACCUCAGUCCUUGUGGAAAUUUUUUUAUUGUUUACUUUAUAUAUAAUUUAUGUCAUUUAAUUUAAUGUGCUAACAACCCUGUGAAAUGUGUAGUAUGCUAUCAUUAUUUCACAUUUGGAAAUAUGUUUAUGAAUAUAAAAUAUUUUCCCCAAGUCCGCAUUUCCAGUAAGCAGCAUGGCUGAAUAACCCAUACUGUAUAGACAAUAAGGGUUACCUAUCUGGUAGGGCUGAAUGCCUUGAGAACUAUAGUCCUCUCUGGCAGUCUGCAGAAAUAAAAGGCAAAUGAUCUUUAUGAAUUUGAGCAAGUUAAACUCUAUUGUCAGCUUAUGGAAAGUUUUAAAAAAUUACACUUUUUUAUUUGCUUAUUUGUAUUUUGUGUACAUGCCAUGACACACACACACAUGGAGGUCAGAGGACAACUUGCAAAUGUCACUUUUUAAGUGGGCAUAGCUGUACUAUCAAAGAUGGCGGUUGUUUUGCUCAGAGGAUAGUCAUGUACAGUAGACCUCAGAGAAACUUCUACUUAAAAAUUUUAACAUACCUGGAUAUGGUUGAAAUUAAAGUAAAUAUCUUUGGUUUUAAUUAUCAAAAUUAAAAUAUAAAUGAAUUAACUAGAUAACUGGCCUAAUUUCAAAGUACAUUGAAAUUAGUGGAUUUGCUAAGUAUCUCCCCCCAAAAGUGAAAUGACAGAUAUAAGCUUGUUUGUUUAUAAUUUUACAAAAUGAAUGCCCACACUAAACUCUGAGUCAAAAUAUGCAGAGCCUGUAUGUGUAAAAUACAGAUGUUGGGAGUCAAGGCUCAUACAUUUUCAUGUCACACUCCCUCCUAUCCAGUUACAAAAUCUCCAUUCAUCUAGCUCUUUGCAUGAUAGUCAAAUGAGGAGACACAAAUAAAAUAGUUGGGGACAAUGUCGAUCACUUCAAGAAAAGAUGGUGUUGUAUGAGCUGAGACAGAUUGAAUGACACCCUCGUUAAUGACAGUAAAAGAUGCCAGUGCUUUUGAAACUCAAGACUUCUGACCUCCACCAUGGUUUUAGCAGCACUUCCUUGCCUCCUUACCCCAAACCAAGCUACAUGGUGCCAUCAAAACUAGCUAUCCAGGGUUAAAUUGCUUUUCUGUUAUUAUUAGUUAAUCUAUGGCAAUAAAAUAUUAUGUCAGAGAAGAAUACGAAUGUUAUAAGCUCUUCGUGUGCUAUUGUCAUUUCUCUGGUUUACCAUCAUAAGAACAUAGUAAGACCCUACUGAAGACAACACUCCCUUUGGAUGCAGGACAAUAAGAAAUCAGACUUGAACUGACCAUAAAAUUCCUCCCAGCUGUCUUUCACAGUGCCAGAAGGUGGAGUGGUGGAGAGAAAAUGUUAGUGGUCUUAUCCAGCACUGGACCAUGCAUAGUACAAUACUGACCAACCAGACAAUAUGUGCCCAUUGGUGAAAUAGUGACAUGAAUGUUAUGUGCUGCCUUCUGAUUGGAGUUGGAAAAAAAAAAAGCCUGAUCCACAAAAGCGAUCACAUAUUUGGAAUUAAAAAUAAGGUCCCAAGCCCUUGGUUAAAGAGGCCAUAGGCUCUGGAGUGAAGCCUGGUAUUGCUAUUUUGCUUAUCAGUCAUCUUUACAAAUUGCCUUAUAAUUAUGCUUAUAUUCAGAGACUUGGUUUGCUCUCAACCUUGGUCGAAGAACUUUGUUUUAACAGCAGGUAGACAUCGGUCAAUGCAGGUUCCCAAGUAUUCAGAUUCCCAAUAAUAAAUCAAUGUUAAUUUAGCUCAACUCUAAAUGGUACACCGUUAACAAUGCCCAUGCCCUCCCCCAAACUCAAGAAACAGCAUGGAAGAGGAUGCCAAAAGAAUGUAAGAGCUGGAGAAUGGGGUGCGUACUGUGAAACUCUCUUUUGGAUGCUAUUCCUUGAACCCACUGUAGCUGUGGUUACAUCAACAAACACAGUCUAAGAUAAAACCAGCCAAAGUCCCAGCAUAAAUGACAGUUGAUAUAUAAUAGGGGAGGGAGAAUAAUUCUUUAAGAGUACAACCACAAGAUAUUAUACAUAGUCUAGUCUAGUGGAUGGCUCCACAUCCAUGUACAUAAAGACAGAACUAAUUGUAUGCACUGAGUUUUUUAUUUUUUUAAGGAAGACAUAAAGUUGAGAGGAAGAUGUGUUUGGAGGGAUCCAAGAGGAACUGGAAGAGAUAAAAAGGAGAUAUAUGAUUAUAUUAAUAUUUAGUCAAAUACUCUUUGCAUACUUUUUAUUGUAUUAUAACUGCUUUUAUUUUUAAAUAAUAUUUGUAUCUUUUGAACAUUUUAUACAUAAGUUUAUACCAUGUAUAUAGAUUGUAUAUAUCCACCACUAUCUUUAACUGAUUCCUCCUAUGGUCUCACAACUUAUCUCCCUCACAACUUUGUCUUUUUUAUCAUUAUUAUAAAACACUGUGUCCAACUAGUGCAUUUAUGUGCAUGAAUAUACAGCAAUACCUUAGUAUAAGCAAACGACUAGCAGCCAUAUCCACAAAGGAAGUAACUCUGCCUUCCAUAGUACAAAUAGUUCUUCCACUUGUGGUUAGGCCUCAGGUUUCCAUCCCUUGUCCAUGCAGAAUUCUAACUGGUUUUAUCUCUUGCAGGUUUUGUGUUGGCCACCCUAGCUGCUGGGAGCUGAUGUGUUCAACAGCCAUGUCCCAUUCAGAAGUCUGCAUUUUACAGAUCUUCUCCCCAUCUGAUGACUUUUACAUUGUUUCUGCUUCCUCUUCUGCAAAGUUCCCUGAGAUUUAGAAUGAGGGAAGUUGAUAUAGGUUGACAUAGAUACACAGCUGGGCACUCAUUUUUUUUACACUCAGCACUUUGAACAGUUAGGGAGCUCUGUGUUAACCACUUUCCACUGCAAAAGAAGCUUCCCUGACCACGUCUGAAGUCUAUGAUCCACUCUUUGGGGCUUUUGACAAGGUUUACAAUACCAGACCUAAGAUCCCUCCCGUGAAACCAGCUUUAUAUCUAAUGUAAUCAAGAAGCAGUUGAUUACCUCCCUGUCCUGCCACUUUGACACCAGUGUUUACAUCUUGACAGCAUGUAAGUGCUAUAGCAUGCAGGAUCCAGAGAUGGGUAAACCACUGAUGUUUUUUAUCCGCAGUAGCCUUCAUUGUAUCUUCUGGCACUCUGUAAUCCCUGUUCUACUGUGUUGUGCAAGAGUUGAAAUGAGCGCAAAUGUGCUUCUUCAACCCUGCACAGGAAGACUUAGUGACAAGGUGAGAAUAGUCCACCACAGGAAGUAGUUAGUCAUGUGAAUCCCUCUGCUGCUCCACCAGCUGGACAGGAGCCAUGAAGGAAGCAAUGGACAUAGAAACAAUCAGGAUAGAUGGCCAACAAUCUGGCAACACAAAUUUGAUGAGAAAGAAGAGAAGCAGAGGAUAAGGCAGAGGAAAAAGAGGAAGACUCUUCAACGUUGGGUUGGAAUAAAUGGGGCAUCGAGAGGGUGGCUACAGUGAGACUUUGGGGAGAUGUAGUAAGUUCAAAAC
Molecule: long non-coding RNA, 5478 nt
Filed under: Cricetulus griseus (Chinese hamster)
Lineage: Eukaryota; Metazoa; Chordata; Mammalia; Rodentia; Cricetidae
Description: lncRNA (ENSCGRG00015040784.1)
Source: RNAcentral